GAUGAACGCUGGCGGCGUGCUUAACACAUGCAAGUCAAACGGAAAGGCCCAAGCUUGCUUGGGUGCUCGAGUGGCGAACGGGUGAGUAACACGUGGGUGAUCUGCCCUGCACUUUGGGAUAAGCCUGGGAAACUGGGUCUAAUACCGGAUAGGACCAUCGUUUAGUGUCGGUGGUGGAAAGUUUUUCGGUGUGGGAUGAGCUCGCGGCCUAUCAGCUUGUUGGUGGGGUAAUGGCCUACCAAGGCGUCGACGGGUAGCCGGCCUGAGAGGGUGUACGGCCACAUUGGGACUGAGAUACGGCCCAGACUCCUACGGGAGGCAGCAGUGGGGAAUAUUGCACAAUGGGCGCAAGCCUGAUGCAGCGACGCCGCGUGGGGGAUGACGGCCUUCGGGUUGUAAACUCCUUUCGCCAAGGACGAAGCGUUUUGUGACGGUACUUGGAGAAGAAGCACCGGCUAACUACGUG
This 466-nucleotide ribosomal RNA is filed under the name uncultured bacterium. RNAcentral's name for it is "partial 16S ribosomal RNA". It matches the Rfam family "Bacterial small subunit ribosomal RNA", at positions 28 to 507 of the family's 1533-position model. The record is from RNAcentral.